AUGAUGGCGAAUAUUCGGCAGCGACGGCAUACCGUGCACAAUUUCUUGGCCAUAUCGACUCCUCCCAAAUGCAAAUUUUUUGCUUGGUUGGCCAUCAACAAUAGGAUUUGGACGGCUGACCGGCUUCAGCGCAGGGGCUGGCCAAAAUGUAACCUUUGCCUGCUAUGCAAACAAAUGCCAGAAUCAGGAGCUCAUCUUCUCUUCCAAUGUCGUUACACCGUUAGAGUUUGGGGAAUGAUCAAAACAUGGCUUGGUUUACAUGAUGUCCAUCCUACAGAUUGGGGAGGCAUGGUUUCCGUCUAG
RNAcentral lists this ribosomal RNA (303 nucleotides) under Triticum aestivum (bread wheat). RNAcentral's name for it is "partial small subunit ribosomal RNA". Lineage: Eukaryota; Viridiplantae; Streptophyta; Magnoliopsida; Poales; Poaceae. The record is from RNAcentral.